UCCCCAUGGCCUCUCUCUCGCACAGUCCCCUAUUCCGACUUAGGGCUCCUACGGUGUUCAACUACGCCGCCGUCGACUUGCGACCGGCGACACGAUGGGAUGGGCUUUGCAGCCCCGUUUAACGGCGUCCUUGAGAGCCAAGACUCUCUCCACACAUGGGAGUCGAAAACAAGGGAGGUUCUCGGCCUCUUGGACCUGAUUUGGACGACGGAGGAGAGACCCUCCGAUGAUGGAACCAAGGCCACUUCCGGUGAGUUCCCUCUCCCUUUAUUUUGAUUUCGAUUUUUUAUUAGUUAUUUAGAAGAGAUUUGCAAAAGAGGAGAAAAUAAAAGAAAAAUAAAAUAAAAUAAAACAAACAAAUAAAUAAAUAACUAAAACAAAGUGGAAAUAGCAAGGAUUCAACCUUUGAAAUUUCAAUUCGGCUUUUGAUUUCUGAUGUGGGUUUUUUUACAAAGAAAAUCGAAGAAGAAUACAAGGAUGAUAUUCUAGGCCUUUAUAGCCGAGAUUACAACUCUCCAUCUCUAUUGUUUUUGUUUUUUUUGCGAUUUGUUUUCUUCUAUCUGCUGUGUGUUUAUUGCUCUUUGCAGGGGGUGUCAGAGCAUGCGGAUGAGGCGAUAGGCGAGCCGCGGCAGUGGCCAAGGGCGUGCGGGGAGGCUGAGCGACGCACAUGGGCAGUAGGGGCUGCUAGGUUUUCUCUGCUGAAAUGUUUUAGGUUGCUUGGGCUAGGUUUUUGUAAUUUUUGGGCCUGCUAGGUUUGGGCUUGUAGUUUUUGGUUUAAAUUUGCUGAGAAUGGACUGCUUUUGUUUUUAUUAUAUGGGUAAUUUUGUUGGUAUGGGCCCGGGCAAAAAUGGGCUGUUACAAGUUGCAUUCACAUUACACAAAUUUUUCACCUCAUCAAUAGUUGGGUUUAUAGGGUUGAAACUCCCCCUGAGAGCAUGCAUCACGAAUCACC
RNAcentral lists this long non-coding RNA (952 nucleotides) under Gossypium barbadense (sea-island cotton). RNAcentral's name for it is "long non-coding RNA (GBAR_LNC021113)". Lineage: Eukaryota; Viridiplantae; Streptophyta; Magnoliopsida; Malvales; Malvaceae. The record is from RNAcentral.